UGCGGGAUAGUGGAAUGGUUCCAUGUUAGCCUCAUAAGCUAAAGAAGCCGGUUCAAAUCCGGCUCCCGCUA
RNAcentral lists this transfer RNA (71 nucleotides) under Endomicrobium sp. RNAcentral's name for it is "tRNA-Met". It matches the Rfam family "tRNA". From Rfam's summary of the family: Transfer RNA (tRNA) molecules are approximately 80 nucleotides in length. Lineage: Bacteria; Pseudomonadati; Elusimicrobiota; Endomicrobiia; Endomicrobiales; Endomicrobiaceae. The record is from RNAcentral.